GGAUGUGGAGGUGAUCUGGCUGCGACAUCUGUCACUCCAUUGAUCACCAGAGUUGAUUCGGCUGAGCUGGCUGGCUACACAGGUGUCCCCUUCCUCCCUUACUGCUCUGUGUGCCUCCUUCCCGAAGCUUCGCACUCGGCCCAAGAUGACCUUCCCCAAAAGAGGAGGACUGUUCUACAGUCAAGGGUAUACAGGAGUAGCUGUGUUCCCGCUACAAACAAGCUCUCAAGGUCCAUUAAAAAAAACCAACCAAACAAAAAACCCCCCCAAACAACAAAACACUUUCUAGUUGGGAAUGAGGGUGU
Molecule: small nuclear RNA, 305 nt
Filed under: Neogale vison (American mink)
Lineage: Eukaryota; Metazoa; Chordata; Mammalia; Carnivora; Mustelidae
Description: Neovison vison (American mink) 7SK RNA (ENSNVIG00000012854.1)
Rfam family: 7SK RNA
About the family: 7SK was discovered as an abundant small nuclear RNA in the mid-70s but a possible function has only recently been suggested.
Source: Rfam by way of RNAcentral